GAUGAACGCUGGCGGCGUGCCUAAUACAUGCAAGUCGGGCGAACGGACGAGAAGCUUGCUUCUCUGAUGUUAGCGGCGGACGGGUGAGUAACACGUGGAUAACCUACCUAUAAGACUGGGAUAACUUCGGGAAACCGGAGCUAAUACCGGAUGAUAUUUUGAACCGCAUGGUUCAAAAGUGAAAGACGGUCUUGCUGUCACUUAUAGAUGGAUCCGCGCUGCAUUAGCUAGUUGGUAAGGUAACGGCUUACCAAGGCAACGAUGCAUAGCCGACCUGAGAGGGUGAUCGGCCACACUGGAACUGAGACACGGUCCAGACUCCGACGGGAGGCAGCAGUAGGGAAUCUUCCGCAAUGGGCGAAAGCCUGACGGAGCAACGCCGCGUGAGUGAUGAAGGUCUGCGGAUCGUAAAACUCUGUUAUUAGGGAAGAACAUAUGUGUAAGUACUGUGCACAUCUUGACGGUACCUAAUCAGAAAGCCACGGCUAACUACGUG
This 496-nucleotide ribosomal RNA is filed under the name uncultured bacterium. Its description in RNAcentral is "partial 16S ribosomal RNA". It matches the Rfam family "Bacterial small subunit ribosomal RNA", at positions 28 to 507 of the family's 1533-position model. The record is from RNAcentral.